CCUACGGGUGGCAGCAGUGGGGAAUAUUGCACAAUGGGGGGAACCCUGAUGCAGCGACGCCGCGUGAGCGAUGAAGUAUUUCGGUAUGUAAAGCUCUAUCAGCAGGGAAGAAAAUGACGGUACCUGACUAAGAAGCCCCGGCUAACUACGUGCCAGCAGCCGCGGUAAUACGUAGGGGGCAAGCGUUAUCCGGAUUUACUGGGUGUAAAGGGAGCGUAGACGGCUGUGCAAGUCUGGAGUGAAAGGCAUGGGCUCAACCUGUGGACUGCUUUGGAAACUGUGCGGCUUGAGUGUCGGAGAGGAGAGUGGAACUCGAGGUGUAGCGGUGAAAUGCGUAGAUAUAUGGAAGAACACCAGUGGCGAAAGCGGCUCUCUGGUCUGUAACUGACGCUGAGGUUCGAAAGCGUGGGUAGCAAACAGGAUUAGAUACCCCAGUAGUC
RNAcentral lists this ribosomal RNA (440 nucleotides) under uncultured bacterium. RNAcentral's name for it is "partial 16S ribosomal RNA". It matches the Rfam family "Bacterial small subunit ribosomal RNA", at positions 338 to 795 of the family's 1533-position model. The record is from RNAcentral.